Molecule: ribosomal RNA, 502 nt
Filed under: uncultured bacterium
Lineage: Bacteria
Description: bacterial SSU rRNA
Rfam family: Bacterial small subunit ribosomal RNA
Source: RNAcentral
GACGAACGCUGGCGGCGUGCUUAACACAUGCAAGUCGAACGAUGAAGCGGCCAGCUUGCUGGUGGUGGAUUAGUGGCGAACGGGUGAGUAACACGUGAGUAACCUGUCCUUCACUCUGGGAUAAGCCCUGGAAACGGGGUCUAAUACUAGAUAUUCUCAAUGUGCCGCAUGGUGUGUUGUGGAAAGAUUUUUUGGUGAGGGUUGGACUCGCGGCCUAUCAGCUUGUUGGUGGGGUAGUGGCCUACCAAGGCUUUGACGGGUAGCCGGCCUGAGAGGGUGACCGGCCACACUGGGACUGAGACACGGCCCAGACUCCUACGGGAGGCAGCAGUGGGGAAUAUUGCACAAUGGGCGCAAGCCUGAUGCAGCGACGCCGCGUGGGGGAUGAAGGCCUUCGGGUUGUAAACCGCUGUCGUAGGGGAGGAAGGCUCCGUGAAGAACGGGGUUUGACCUAUCCUAGGAGGAAGUACGGGCUAAGUACGUGCCAGCAGCCGCAGUAAAA